AUUUAAAUAGCUUAAAUUUUAAAGCGUAGUAUUGAAGCUACUAAUAUGGUUAUUUAACCUUUAAAUA
This 67-nucleotide transfer RNA is filed under the name Chlorogomphus shanicus. RNAcentral's name for it is "tRNA-Phe". The record is from RNAcentral. Lineage: Eukaryota; Metazoa; Arthropoda; Insecta; Odonata; Chlorogomphidae.